Small nuclear RNA from Chelonoidis abingdonii (Abingdon island giant tortoise), 128 nucleotides. The record is from Ensembl. NCBI's taxonomy places the organism in Eukaryota, Metazoa, Chordata, Testudines, Testudinidae.
CUCUUGUAUGAAAGGACAGAAGGUUAGCACUCCCCUUGAUAAGGAUGGAAGAGGUCCUACUGACCUUUACAACAUGUAUAUGGUUAAGGCAUUGCCACUUAUUUCAUGGCAUCUAAUCAAGUUUUUUU